UAAAUCGGUUUCGAUCCAAACUGAGUUUUAUUGAUUCUUCUAAGUGCCAUUCUGUUUUCUCAGUUGUCUCGACUAUUUUUCUAUCUCCGGUGAAGAUUUGGAGUUUUUUGUCUGAUGGCUCAAGUCUGUUGUUCCUGAGGAUGUAUAUUGUUCUUGAGGCCCUAUGUUCCAGAGGCUUAUUGAUCCGCCACUGUUUUUUGUGCUUGUUGUUCAAACAAUCUGAGGGAGACCACUACUUCUUUAGGUCACACCAUGCACCUGAAGGCCUGAAGAUCCAACUCAUUCAUUUAUACAACUUAUUGUUCAAACUCCAGUUGUUUUGUGUCAAAACAUUUUGAGUUUGAGGGGGAGUGUUAGUGUAUGGAUAUCUAUAUUGAUAAACUGUAUGGAUAUCUAUAUUGAUAAACAUCAUUAGUGAUAUAUAUUAGUAUGGAUAUGUAUCUAUAUGGGUAUAUAUCUUUUGAUAAGAGUAGGUGGUGUCUAUCCAUAACCAUUGGUAUGUAACUUUAAAUGUUAGUAUCUAUCCAGAACUACUAUUAGCCAUAUGUUUAUACGGGUCUUGUGUAUUCUUUUAUCAAUCAAACACAUAGAGUUCUCU
RNAcentral lists this long non-coding RNA (598 nucleotides) under Amborella trichopoda. RNAcentral describes it as "long non-coding RNA (ATRI_LNC000085)". Lineage: Eukaryota; Viridiplantae; Streptophyta; Magnoliopsida; Amborellales; Amborellaceae. The record is from RNAcentral.